CUUGAGCAGUUUAGAUGCCUGGCUGUUAUAAUCUGACGCGGACCAAUCGUUGGGGGAAGACAUUGUUCCUAACGGGAAAGAAUCAUCAGCAGACCGCAGCGAUGACAUCACAAUGGAUUCGGAACAAACGUUGCAUGAAGUGGAUCACUGCCUGCCUGGUUCUGAUAUGGUACUGAGAUUGAUUACCUUUCUGCAAACCAGAGUAAAAGCAUAGUGAAAGCAUGCUAAACCGUCAGCCUGCUUCACUCCUGCUCCCUGUACUGCAGAAGCGAGUCUCUGUGGUAGAGCUCCAUACCAUGUGCCUUUGAAAGUGUUGCUCAACGCUGUGGAAUGCAAAGCCAGCGUGACCACCAGGGUGGAGAGACCUGCAGAUUACUGAGGGGGCUGGGACAGGGGUAGAGCUGCUCCGAGUGUGCGAGGCAUGGCUUUCAGGACACCUCUGGAGGGCACUCGCCAAAAAGAGUUCCACUGGUCUUGUAAAGAGUCGCACACAUCUACCUAGCGUUUGCCAGAACGCACACUUAAAACUUCCGUUUGGACAACUGUUACCGUCAAUAGGUUUUAAUAUUACCAAAUUAGACACUGUUGUUUUUUUUUAUUGCUGGACAGGUUGCGUUUUGAGGAAAUGCUAAUGCACAUUUUGACGGCAUGUAUGUGUCUAUGGAAAUAAAUUGUGCAAAUUGCAUAAAUUACCCAUGAACACUGUUCACCUAUUACUGUAUAAAGACUAUAUGGAUAACAUCAAAUUGCUUCCAGACUUUACUUAGAAGACUUAUUUUUAUAGCCUGGCCUUUGCAACUGUUUGCGUCAGUGUAUUUGAAUGUAAUGUUGUUGUUUUCAGACAGCAGUUUAAUGAGUGUUUAAGACUGAAGUCUUGCCACAGUGUUCAGUGGUGGCUCAGAGGUUAAGUUAGUGUAGGGCUGUAGGGUCCAGUGAAGGGAGCCAGGCUGUUGAAGCCACCACUAUGCAGUGCCUAUCCUUAUGAACCCAUCACCCCAAUGAAACCCCACUGUUCGGAUAACAUUACACAGGAAACACUGACACAGAUGUUUGACAAAAACCAGAAGUGCUUGCAAUAUGUGUAAUUUCUUUUGAAAUACGAAUGGCAUUGGCCAGGUCAAGCUAUAUCUCCCGGUCACAGUGGGACGGAAAAUUGAACCGCCAGAGGCCUGAUCGCUAGUAGGAGCUCAGUUGGCAGGUGCUUCUGUAUCCCAGAUCAAUUACUGAUGUAUCACAAGGAAUCUAUUUGGAUUACUUGAAUUAUACCUUCCGUGGGGCAGAGACCAUACCCCCAAUGCAACCUACCUGAAGGAACUAGAGGCUGGUAAUCUUUGUGGAAUGGGCAAAGCGAUUUCAACACCUUGCAGACCUGAAUCAAGUUGAAACACUGUCUGCAGUGUUAUGAUAGACGCUCUUUCCCUUCCACAGUGCAUGGUAGAGUGCAUAGCAAACAGUGAACUGACCGGGUGACCCCCUGGCCCACGAGCACGCCUUCCAUUUUAGGAAGCGAUACCAAAAGUGCCUGCUAUAGUGAUUCCAGGGUUAUGAAGUCACAUGACCCCGGCGGUGUAGGUUAUCAAAAUUCCAGCGGAGCUCGGCCAAUGGGAGGCCUGGAAUCCGAUAUGACAGCUUUCCUUCUCCCUCUGCCGGCCCCCUUUCCUGUGACCUUUCCCUGUUUAUUUGUGUGUAGCCUUAUCAGUCAUAGCAGCCAUUGCUUUCCUUUGUGUGUG
Molecule: long non-coding RNA, 1730 nt
Organism: Acipenser ruthenus (sterlet)
Lineage: Eukaryota; Metazoa; Chordata; Actinopteri; Acipenseriformes; Acipenseridae
Exons: 3
Source: RefSeq, a predicted model, not a curated record